GACGAACGCUGGCGGCGUGCUUAACACAUGCAAGUCGAACGGAAUUACGCUUAACACCGAUUCUUUUAUAGAAGGUGCAAUGCGAAGACGCGAUGCGGUGAAUGAACGAAGUGAAUUCACCACGCAUUAAAAAAGUGCAAACACCAAGAGGAAUGGGUGUUGAGCGUAAUUUAGUGGCGAACGGGUGAGUAACGCGUAGACAACCUACCUUUUAGAUGGGGACAACAUCGCGAAAGCGGUGCUAAUACCGAAUGUUGAUAAUGAAAUGCAUGUUUCGUUAUUUAAAGAUGGCCUCUAUAUAUAAGCUAUCGCUAAAAGAUGGGUCUGCGUCUGAUUAGCUAGUUGGUGAGAUAACAGCCCACCAAGGCAACGAUCAGUAGCCGGUCUGAGAGGAUGAACGGCCACAUUGGGACUGAGACACGGCCCAAACUCCUACGGGAGGCAGCAGUGGGGAAUCUUCCGCAAUGGACGAAAGUCUGACGGAGCAACGCCGCGUGAGUGAAGAAGGUUUUAGGAUCGUAAAGCUCUGUUGUUUAGGACGAAUGUGCCUUAUGCGAAUAGUAUGAGGUAAUGACGGUACUAAACGAGAAAGCCACGGCUAACUACGUGCCAGCAGCCGCGGUAAUACGUAGGUGGCAAGCGUUGUCCGGAAUUAUUGGGCGUAAAGGGAGCGCAGGUGGGAAAAUAAGUCUGUUUUAAAAGUGCGGGGCUCAACCCCGUGAUGGAAUGGAAACUGUUUUUCUUGAGUGCAGGAGAGGAAAGUGGAAUUCCUAGUGUAGCGGUGAAAUGCGUAGAUAUUAGGAGGAACACCAGUGGCGAAGGCGACUUUCUGGACUGUAACUGACACUGAGGCUCGAAAGCCAGGGUAGCGAACGGGAUUAGAUACCCCGGUAGUCCUGGCCGUAAACGAUGGGUACUAGGUGUAGGAGGUAUCGACCCCUUCUGUGCCGGAGUUAACGCAAUAAGUACCC
Molecule: ribosomal RNA, 971 nt
Filed under: human gut metagenome
Description: bacterial SSU rRNA
Rfam family: Bacterial small subunit ribosomal RNA
Source: RNAcentral